GAUGUCAGUGAUAUACUGUGAAACAUCAUUGACGUGGGAGAAAAGAAAGCUCGUGCUGACGUCCCUACCGUACAGUGUGUUCUUAUCAACACGUCCAGUGGCAGAUUAUUUUAAUUGGCUUUUGUGCACGAAGCUGUAAAUUUCCCUCACAGCAUUUACGGCAAAUCAGAAGUGCACUUACGUCUGAACCAUGUUGAGUCAUAGAGUAAUAAAGCUUUUUUAAUACAUCACUGUCCUCACUGUCAAUUUCCCAAACGCUUGGUGAAGGCCUAGAGAGCCGCGUGUUUCUACAAGCAUUAGCAGGAAUUUUAGAGAGAUUCAGAUCUGAAUUAGCCUGGUUAAAACCAGACCAUUCUCAGUAGUAACUCAUUUCAAAGGGGCGUUACCAACGAACGUCUCUGAAAUGCCUCUGUGUCCAAUUGGAUAGACCUAAAACCAAUUACAGUGAUGGAGAUGACGUAUUCAGAGCUAUAUCAGACUUUUGCUGGUUCCAGUUGUGACUGCGAAAGCGUCCAAAACCCACACGAACUCGAGGCCUGAAAGAAAUGAAAGCUGAUUGUAGACGAAAGGUCAACUCGCAUCAAGAGGAAACAAUAAAGCAUUCAUUUUUAAGGUCAUGAGAUGUCACCGCACCCUCAACAUCAGUGUCGUGACAUGACGCUCAGAUGUGUGUGUCGUUGAAGACCGUUUUAAGACAAAGAAGAGAUCAGUAGCAUACAUUGCAGAACAAAAGCUGAACUUGCUGUUGGUGUCUUUAAACAUCUUUAGCACCUUUUUUUGAUUUUAGUCUUUGCUUGAACUGAACUGAAUUAAUCUAAGCUAAACUCGAUUAGGUCCAGACAGACUUCUUGGGGGGUUUUGAGGGCACAGUUCAUAUGACAUCAACCAGCUAUUUGCUCUGAACAAUGCCAACCACAUUCACACAGAAAUACAGACAGACUUUACCAAAUGAGGGUUCACCUCAAGUCUGAAAAAAACCACUCCGACAAUUCACGUCUAAUUAUAUAAAUCGAAAGCGUAUGCAUGAAGUCACUUUGCUAUGAAGAAUGGACAGGAAGUCCUUACUGUAAGUUCUUUACAUGGUUUAAAAUUAGGCUUCUCAUAAUUUUGGAGGAGAUGCGCUUUAUUCCUCUGUGUAUGCGUAGGAUGAUUUUGAUUUUAAGUUUAGAUUUACAAUCAAAUACAAGUGAAAUGGUU
Non-coding RNA from Misgurnus anguillicaudatus (oriental weatherfish), 1197 nucleotides. The record is from RefSeq and is a predicted model, not a curated record. Lineage: Eukaryota; Metazoa; Chordata; Actinopteri; Cypriniformes; Cobitidae.